RNAcentral lists this ribosomal RNA (253 nucleotides) under uncultured bacterium. RNAcentral describes it as "partial 16S ribosomal RNA". It matches the Rfam family "Bacterial small subunit ribosomal RNA", at positions 524 to 776 of the family's 1533-position model. The record is from RNAcentral.
UACAGGGGGUGCAAACGUUGCUCGGAAUUAUUGGGCGUAAAGCGCGCGUAGGCGGCUUUGUAAGUUAGAGGUGAAAGCCCGGGGCUCAACUCCGGAACUGCCUUUAAGACUGCAUCGCUUGAAUCCAGGAGAGGUGAGUGGAAUUCCGAGUGUAGAGGUGAAAUUCGUAGAUAUUCGGAAGAACACCAGUGGCGAAGGCGGCUCACUGGACUGGUAUUGACGCUGAGGUGCGAAAGCGUGGGGAGCAAACAGG